This 995-nucleotide long non-coding RNA is filed under the name Panax ginseng (ginseng). RNAcentral describes it as "long non-coding RNA (PGIN_LNC019135)". Lineage: Eukaryota; Viridiplantae; Streptophyta; Magnoliopsida; Apiales; Araliaceae. The record is from RNAcentral.
UGCACUAACCAUUUUCAUUUCCCAAAUUCUCAUCUUAGUCUCUCCGUCUCUCAUCCCAAAUCCCAAAUUCUCAUCUCAGCCUCUCCGCCUCUCUCAUCCCAAAUCUCAAAUUUUUAGCCUCCGCCUCUCACUUCUCAGCCUAUCGCCUCUCAUCCCAAAGGUAUUGAAGGAGAACAUCCAAGGUAUCACCAGUCGCGCGCCAUCGAAAGUUUGGAGAGGGUCUAGAUUUGGUUAUGGCGACAAGAUGGUGUGGGUACGAAGCUGGAGGUGUGAUUGUAUUCCUACAUCUUGAUCAGAAAGGUGUGGUGCCUUUGCCUAGAGGAUUUAAUGGAUUUUGGUAGAUAGAGGCAUAUAACAGUAAGGCGAUGGAAGAUGACAAAUAUAAUCCCUGAUACUACAUCAUAUCACAUACACUUAGAUCUAGUAAAAUUUUUCUACUUUUUUUUCUUCAUUAUAUCCAUUUUUUGUGCUCAACUGAAAAACAAAAAUACUUGUAAUUUUGGAGUUGGUACUUAAAAAAGAUGUAUUUUGUUCAAUGGAUGCCUAAGUUUAGUUUUCUGCUUUAAUGGUGCUCUGUUUUGGAUUAACAUGGUAAAAUCCAAUCGAAAUUUUCAAUCUGUCAAGCAUGUGGGGAAACCUUCAUUUCAGUUAUUAACCGAAUAACAGAAUAAUAAAUUUGGUUAUCUACUAUUUCGGUUACCAGUUUGGAUAUCAAAAGUGUGUUAUUUUUUGUUAUAACCGAAUAAGCUAUUCGAUUCGGUUAUAACCGAAUUCUCGCCCCUAACCAUUAUAAAGCAUACUGGAAAGUUUUAGGAUUUGUUUUCCAAGGUUUUGUAGAUAACAAAGCCUGUCUGGGUCUGUUGCCGAAGUAGCGCGGCUGUGCCACUUCCAAGGGCAAAACCAGCGCGGCCACGCUGGUCUCCAGAAACUGAAAAUAAAUUGCUUUAUAUUCUAAGCUUUUGAGCAGCUGUAACAAAGUUAUAUAUGUGUAUUAG